Molecule: non-coding RNA, 74 nt
Organism: Perca fluviatilis (European perch)
Lineage: Eukaryota; Metazoa; Chordata; Actinopteri; Perciformes; Percidae
Source: the annotation of a RefSeq genome assembly
GGCCAGUUAGCUCAGAUGGUUACAGCGUGGUGCUAAUAAUGCCAUGUUCAUGGGUUCAAACCCCAUACUGGCCC